This is a long non-coding RNA of Rosa rugosa (rugosa rose), 1053 nucleotides long. RefSeq lists it as uncharacterized. The record is from RefSeq and is a predicted model, not a curated record. The transcript is spliced from 9 exons. NCBI's taxonomy places the organism in Eukaryota, Viridiplantae, Streptophyta, Magnoliopsida, Rosales, Rosaceae.
CAUUCCCACAAACAUUACCUAUGUCUAAAACUCUCUUACCAACCAGAAACUCGGUACCUCACAGCAUCUGGAGGAAAACUUAGCCAUCUAUACCUCUCAAAAAUCGGCCAUCUCUCAAAUCUAAUCUCUCCUUACCCAAAACUAAUCUCUCCUUCAACCCCGACAUCCUUACUGUUUGCAUUCAAGUCCGGCUUAAUGGAGUUCUCCACCAGCGACUCAAGAGAUUAGAAGAAGCUGGACUAUUCUAUUUUCGAUUGGGUUAUUGGAAACAAAGGAAAUACAGUUUUGGAGAAGGAAAACCUAGAAGCGAGGGAUUUAGCCGCAAGGGAGGUACAAAAUUGACGUGUGUGAAGUUUGGGGGAGGAGAAGAUUUUGACAAACAUUAAGGUCAUAUGAUGUUUUGCAAGGUUAUUCUCUUGUAUUCAAAUUGGUUCCAUCAGUUGGCGUCAUUAUAUUUGCCAUAUGGGGUCUCGCACCACUUAUGCGUCUGAGCAGAAACCUAAUCCUUAGUAAGAAUGAUAGCAGCUGGAAAAAAAGUAACACACACUAUGUUACGAACUCCUAUAUUCAACCUUUGCUCCUAUGGACGGGAGCAAUGCUCAUUUGCAGGGCAUUGGAUCCAGUUGUUCUACCUACAGAAGCUAGUCAGAGAAGGUCCUCUGGAUAAUUGUCCUUUAAUCAUAAUUAUUCUUUGUUUCCAGAGAACGGGGGAAGAAGGAGGAGAAGAAGAAGAAGAGAGAGAUCAGAAACUCUUGCUUGCUUGAGAGAAAACAAGUGGAAGGUUUUGCUUGCUAUUACUGUUCCUGAUUCAAGUGAUCUAUCUGUCAGAAGAUUUGUGUUUCAGACCAGCACUUGCUAUGUUCAAUGAUGCUGAAAAGAAAGGCUUAUUAACUCCUGGAGUGAAAACUCUGAUAGAUCCAACAUCAGGAAACAUGAGAAUCAACAUGGCUUUUAUGGCCGCAAUGAAAGGGUACAAGAUGGUUUUGACCAUGCCGUCUUACACGAGCUUGGAGAGAAGAUUGUGUAUGAGAGCCUUAGGAGCUGAGUUGAUUC